Molecule: long non-coding RNA, 417 nt
Filed under: Populus tremula
Lineage: Eukaryota; Viridiplantae; Streptophyta; Magnoliopsida; Malpighiales; Salicaceae
Description: long non-coding RNA (PTRE_LNC001414)
Source: RNAcentral
GGGCAUUUUGGGUUGAGGAGGGGAACCUACAGGCGACAAGAUUUCACUCGGAGGGAGUUCAAGGACUCGAUCGGAAAGAUAAAAUGGGCUGACCGGAGCAGAAAAGGGAAAAGAAUCUCCUCAAAACGUUACCCGUCUGACCAGUAGGUUAUUUCCAAGAAAUUAACAGCUCAGUCCGGCAAGCUACGGCCCGGAACAGAUGGUCAGUAAGCUUCUUUCUUAGUGUUCAAUCUAUGACGAUCCAUAGGAUGCCAAUUACCGUGAUAAGUGGGAAGAGUUUUUAUGCUGCUCAAGAGUCCUGAACUCGGGGUUAUAGCUGGUGAGUGAAUGUGAAGCUGUCUUUGAUGCAGCUGGCAAGUCCAAUAAUGCGCACUUGGUAGAAGAGUCCGAUGUGCCAUUGAUGAGACCCUUCGUCCG